RNAcentral lists this ribosomal RNA (698 nucleotides) under uncultured Spumella. RNAcentral's name for it is "bacterial SSU rRNA". It matches the Rfam family "Eukaryotic small subunit ribosomal RNA", at positions 565 to 1258 of the family's 1831-position model. The record is from RNAcentral. Lineage: Eukaryota; Synurophyceae; Ochromonadales; Ochromonadaceae.
UGCCAAGCACCCGCGGUAAUUCCAGCUCCAAUAGCGUAUACUAAAGUUGUUGCAGUUAAAAAGCUCGUAGUUGAAUUUCUGGUCUCGGACAUCGGUCUGCCUCGAACGAGGUAUGAACCAGUUGUCUGAAUCCAUCCUCGGGGAAAACAUGUCUGCAAUUCAGUUUGUGGGCAUGGGAUCCUCGUCAUUUACUGUGAGCAAAAUAAAGUGUUCAAAGCAGGCUUAUGCCGUUGAAUACAUUAGCAUGGAAUAAUAAGAUAGGACCUUGGUCUAUUUUGUUGGUUUGUACUCCAAGGUAAUGAUUAAUACGGAUAGUUGGGGGUAUUCGUAUUCAAUUGUCAGAGGUGAAAUUCUUGGAUUUAUGGAAGACGAACUACUGCGAAAGCAUUUACCAGGGAUGUUUUCAUUAAUCUAGACCGAAAGUUAGGGGAUCAAAGAUGAUUAGAUACCAUCGGAGUCUUAACCAUAAACUAUGCGGACUAGGGAUUGGGUGGACGUUUGUAGCCAAUCCAUCAGCACCUUAUGAGAAAUCAAAAUUCUUUGGCGUUCCGGGCGAGUAUAGAUCACAGGGUGAAACUUACCCCAAGUUUGACCGGAAGGGGCACAACCAUGAUGUGUGGCCUGCGGCAUAAAUUCUGACUCAACGGGGGGGGAGAGUUACCAGGGCCCGCGCACCCGAUUGAGGAUUGGACAGCACU